GGAGCAGGGCGCGGAGCUGCAGGGGGGCGCAGGCGGCGGGCAGCCGCGCCCCGGCGGCGACGGGCCCCAGGGACAGCGGGUCCUCCGCCAGGAGUCCGUCUAACCCGAAAGCGUUUCCGCGGCUUGUGGAACAGCGGAGGGCUUUGAGAAGCGCGGCGUGUCAGGCGGGAGCCGUGUCUGGAAAGCUGCUGGAGGGGGCUGUAAUCCCCGCGGCGGCGGCGCGCCGUGAGCCUGGCGGCGGUGGGCCUGGCGGAGCGUAGGAACGCAAAGAACAGAGAGAGGCAUCCCGUGCCAAAGCCUGAGUGACACAUCGGGCUGUGAAACAGCUUGGGCAGAGGCGUGAGCAGAACAGUGCAUAAGCAACACAUCCCCCAGCGGUGAGGAUACUUGCUUCCAAGAAAUCUCUCACUACUGAAUAGGUAUCAGCUAAGGAAAUCGGGUUAUUUGUAGCAGAAUCCAGUCUUGAGAUGAACAAAAACAUCUCAAGUCUCAGUCCAAGACAGAACAGUAUUGUUUUGGGCCCAGAGCAUGGCCUGGGGAGACCUGUGCUUUAUACACACAAAGCACUGGCUCUUUGCUUUUCCCUCCCUGCCUACACAGUCAAGAUGUUGUUUACCACAGUUGAGAAUUUUCACUGAAUAACUUGAUUUCCAUGGGGUAUUUAUUCAACUAGGCAAUUUUCUUUGUCGCCUGACCUGUCUCCCACUACAUCAAAAACCAAAACAAAAUGUUAGUGCAAUCAUAUGCAAAGGCUCACACAGUGUAGGCAAUGCCUUUAUAGCUGAUAGAGAAAGAGGAAAGAAAAGUAUAGGGGUAAGGUAUUUUAAAGCUAGGUAUAUAUACAGGGGUAGGUAUUUUAAAGCUUCAGGGCUAAGUUACGGGCUAUCUGUUAAACCAGCUUUGACAGCUGUCGCACAGUGAUACUGUGCAGGGCUAGUUAACAGGAUUCUUGGUGGCGUUGGGAAAAGAAACAGUAUUGCAAGGUAAAUCACCUUGUUGAAGUCUUUGGCUUGAGCCUCCUGAGUGUGAAAGGUUACUUCUCACCAAGCAGAAAUGGAGACCUCUAGGGUAUAUAGUAAAAAUUGUUGACAGCAAGGAUUCUGUUCUGUGUGUUUCACAGAGACGUAUCUAAAAAGGGAUCAGAUCUUAAAACCUAGCAGCAAGCAUGUCAACUGUCAGCAAAUUAAUCUUACUUGAGAAGUAACGCACCCAGUUAUUCUGGCUGGGCUUCUGUUUCAGCUGUGUCUCGCUCACAAUGCACGGCAUUUGACUGUUUCUGUUGCUGGUCAUAGCCUGUUCUUCUGAGCCUUGCACAGAUUGACGCAGCUACUGGGAUCCCUAGCCAGUUGUAGUAAAGUACCAAAGAUCAGGAAUAUUCAAAGCAACGUCAACUUCAGAACAGAGGAGCUGAGUCUGAUUAUCAGAACACACAAGAUAGUUUUGAACAAAUGCUUACCAACCUAACAAUAUGUUUCCAGUUCCACAUACAAUAUGGUCAGUUCCUAGAGUUUUAUGUCAUUUUUAAAAUAUUCUCAGGAGUGUUUUCAUGCCCAAUGUUAAUUUACACCAGUGUUCUUCAUACCAGUUUCUAUCAUUACGUGUAUCAGCAAGACCCUCCUGCUGUUUUGAAGCUACACUAAGGAUAUUAAAAAGGGCAAACAAUCCCACGGUGAUUCAGAAGAUGAUCUCCCCAGUAAGGUGGAACACCCACUGUGCCCUGUUUUAAUUGCUAGCACAUUCAGCAGAUAAACAAACUUAAUGAUUUCACAGGCAUUUCACUGGUCACGGAGAUGUGUUGCAAAGGGCUCAGAUUAAACAUGGAAAAUGUAACUUUGUUGAAGGUGAGGCUAAUAACUAGUUAUUAAAAAAAAUGCCUACUGUAUAACACAGUGGUAAUCAAAAUCGGUGGGACAAAUAAAAGUGUUUUGAUAUUUUGUCUAGUAUAGCUCUUUUCAUAGAUUCAUAAAAUCACAGAAUGGUUUGGGUUGGAAGGGACCUUAAAGAUCAUCUAAUUCCAACCCCCUGGUAUGGGCAGGGACACCUCCCACUGGAUCGGGUUGCCCAAAGCCCCACCCGGCCUGGCCUUGAGCACUUCUAGGGAUGGGGCAUCCACAGCUUCUCUCAGCAACCUGUUCCAGUGAGGAACAUCACUUAUAUUUUUAGAUCUUUUAGAUGCUUGAAAAUACAGAGUGUUAAUUUCAAGUGUGAUUAAAUAAAAACUAAUAUGUGGUGGUAGUUUCCAUUCUGGAAAGGGAACUCUAUGACUUGAAUUCAUAGUGAAGACAGUUACCCCUGACCAUGAUCUCUAACAUGCUCCUAUCACUCCUGUUCCUCUGGAAAUAUACCAUGGAAUUGC
Cygnus atratus (black swan) is the source of this 2356-nucleotide long non-coding RNA. RefSeq lists it as uncharacterized. The transcript has 3 exons. The record is from RefSeq and is a predicted model, not a curated record. Lineage: Eukaryota; Metazoa; Chordata; Aves; Anseriformes; Anatidae.